GUCUAUUAGUUUAUUUUUUUGAAUUUUUUAUUUACGAUAAAUAGGUUUUUUGGACUU
This 57-nucleotide transfer RNA is filed under the name Dirofilaria sp. 'Thailand II'. RNAcentral describes it as "tRNA-Val". Lineage: Eukaryota; Metazoa; Nematoda; Chromadorea; Rhabditida; Onchocercidae. The record is from RNAcentral.